RNAcentral lists this ribosomal RNA (299 nucleotides) under uncultured bacterium. Its description in RNAcentral is "partial 16S ribosomal RNA". It matches the Rfam family "Bacterial small subunit ribosomal RNA", at positions 399 to 691 of the family's 1533-position model. The record is from RNAcentral.
GCGUGUGUGAAGAAGGCCUGCGGGUUGUAAAGCACUUUUAUCGGGAAAGAAAAACCCAAGGUUAAUACCCUUGGCAUUGACGGUACCCGAAGAAUAAGCACCGGCUAACUCCGUGCCAGCAGCCGCGGUAAUACGGAGGGUGCAAGCGUUAAUCGGAAUUACUGGGCGUAAAGCGAGUGUAGGCGGCUACGUCAGUCGGAUGUGAAAGCCCCGGGCUUAACCUGGGAAUUGCAUUCGAUACUGCGUAGCUAGAGUCUGAUAGAGGGAAGUGGAAUUCCGGGUGUAGCGGUGAAAUGCGU